This 429-nucleotide long non-coding RNA is filed under the name Homo sapiens (human). RNAcentral describes it as "HSALNT0393760". Lineage: Eukaryota; Metazoa; Chordata; Mammalia; Primates; Hominidae. The record is from RNAcentral.
UGGAGAACCAGGAAAAACAGUGGUGUAAUUCAGUCAACUCCAAAGGUGAGAUGGGGGAGGGAGAUGGGGAGAGACUGAAGUAAGUCCCAGGUCAAGUCAAAUGUUUGAGAACCAGGUGUGCUGAUUUCUGAGAAGGGGAGAAGAUAAAUGGCCUAGCUCUGAAAGAGAGGGUCUGAGACCCUCUGAUUUUUCUUGGAAUCCCCAGGAGUUAGCAAAAUCUGUGCAGCAGCCAUUGCAUCUUCUAGCAGGAAAGUUUCUACCAAAGACCUUUCCAGUAUCAACAUAUGAAGAAGAAGAAAGAAACUGGCUGUUACCGAUCUCACAGUCUUUCUGAUGGACAAAAGUGACAAAGCAUGAAGACUGAAGACGACAGGAAUUUUAUAUUUAGUAACAUUUUGGCUACAUAGGCCCCUGACAGUCUGAUUCAGA